CCGUCACCAUCGGCGCCACCACCACCGGACCCGGGCGGGGGGGCCGAACCUGUGCCAGAGAGCAUCGCCGCCGCCAUCCCGGGGCCUGGAAGGAAUGCAGCACGGCAAUGGGGCUAUCGACGACUAGCCUAUGGCAGGAAACAUCGGACAUCAAGAUCAGUUGUAGAGCUCUUCCACCACCACCACCAUCACCCCCCACCCCCCCACCCGCAACACCCCGCCAACUCCCCCCACAAGCUAGACUUUGGGAGCUGCGGAAAACCUGGAACGGCUGAGCAUGGAACUCCGGGAUGUGGGUUCUAUGCACUAAACCCCAGCUAGGCUUGGAAUAGAGUGGCUGUUCUCAAGGUCUGGGAAGGAGGGCGCUGCGAGGUCGAGAAAGGCAAGCUCCAUGGCCCUUGGGUGGAGCUACUGUAGCCGCUAAACAUGAAGCCAGACCCUCAAGGUCACAGAGAGAUGGAAGACAUGUCAACUAUUUUUUUUUCCCCUCAGAACCCUCUACCCUUAGGGAAUUAUCUGAACCUGGCUUUCAGGAAGCUGAAUGGUGAGCAGAGCGUCUUAGGUGCCAGAGACGGAAGAGGGCACCGGAGCUGCCUUGGAUGUGCAUGUAGCCUGAGACCCGAAGCCUAACAUUUGUCUCACUAGCCACCAAAUCGCUGGGAUGUGAAGGAUCAGCCCAUUUGGAGCACGUUGUAUUUCAGGUCCUGUCUGACUCCUAGCAAGCAGUUCAAAGGGAGUCUUCAUGGGUGACUCUUAAAAUCCCAUUUUCCUUCUAGAAUCUCUAAGGAUUUCCGGGAAAAUAUUUAUCAUUCUGUUUUUGCACCAGCCUGCUAUGGUUUACUCUGACACAAAACUUAAAAUGAAAAAGGGAGGAGUUAAUGAGACUUGUGUAUUUAACUGACCAUGUGACUAAAUGUCUUUCAACUAGUACCAUUUCUUUCAAAAAUUCUGUCAAAGCUAACUAGUGUUAAAUAAAAAGGGCCCAAAUCCCUUCACUUCUCUA
Sarcophilus harrisii (Tasmanian devil) is the source of this 1003-nucleotide long non-coding RNA. RefSeq lists it as uncharacterized. The transcript has 2 exons. NCBI's taxonomy places the organism in Eukaryota, Metazoa, Chordata, Mammalia, Dasyuromorphia, Dasyuridae. The record is from RefSeq and is a predicted model, not a curated record.